This 1291-nucleotide ribosomal RNA is filed under the name metagenome. Its description in RNAcentral is "bacterial LSU rRNA". It matches the Rfam family "Bacterial large subunit ribosomal RNA", at positions 1563 to 2894 of the family's 2925-position model. The record is from RNAcentral.
GGAUUGGGAGGGUUCUACCGAACCCGUUUGGUGAAUCUAGUGCCGAGAAAAGCCUUCUAUGUGUUGAAUUUCUAGUACCCGUACCCCAAACCGACACAGGUGGGUGGGUAGAGCAUACCUAGGGGCGCGUGAUAACUCUCUCUAAGGAACUCGGCAAAAUGGCCCUGUAACUUCGGGAUAAGGGGUGCCUGCGUGAGCAGGCCGCAGUGAAAUGGCUCUGGCGACUGUUUACCAAAAACACAGGUCUCUGCUAAGUCGUAAGACGAUGUAUAGGGGCUGACUCCUGCCCAGUGCCGGAAGGUUAAGGAAGUUGGUUAGCGCAAGCGAAGCUGGCGACCGAAGCCCCGGUGAACGGCGGCCGUAACUAUAACGGUCCUAAGGUAGCGAAAUUCCUUGUCGGGUAAGUUCCGACCCGCACGAAAGGAGUAACGAUCAGAGCGCUGUCUCGGAGAGAGACACGGCGAAAUAGGAUUGUCCGUGAAGAUACGGACUACCUGCACCCGGACAGAAAGACCCUAUGAAGCUUUACUGUAACUUGGAAUUGUGUUCGGACUUUGUCUGCGCAGAAUAGGUGGGAGGCUAUGAAACGUUCCUCGCGGGGAACUGGAGCCAUCGUUGAGAUACCACUCUGGCAGAGUCUGGAUUCUAACCUACGGGGACAGUUCCAGGUGGGCAGUUUGACUGGGGCGGUCGCCUCCUAGAAUGUAACGGAGGCGCGCAAAGGUUCCCUCAGGCUGGUUGGAAAUCAGCCAUAGAGUGUAAAAGCAUAAGGGAGCUUGACUGUGAGACCUACAAGUCGAGCAGGGACGAAAGUCGGCUUUAGUGAUCCGACGGCACUGAGUGGAAGGGCCGUCGCUCAACGGAUAAAAGUUACUCUAAGGAUAACAGGCUGAUCUCCCCCAAGAGUUCACAUCGACGGGGUGGUUUGGCACCUCGAUGUCGGCUCGUCGCAACCUGGGGCGGUAGUACGUCCCAAGGGUUGGGCUGUUCGCCCAUUAAAGCGGCACGUGAGCUGGGUUCAGAACGUCGUGAGACAGUUCGGUCCAUAUCCGGUGUAGGCGUAGGAGCAUUGAAAGGAUCUCUCCUUAGUACGAGAGGACCGGGAGGGACGUACCUCUGGUGUACCUGUUAUCGUGCCAACGGUAAACGCAGGGUAGCCAUGUACGGAGUGGAUAACCGCUGAAAGCAUCUAAGUGGGAAGCCCACCUUAAGAUGAGUGCUCCCUUGAGGCCACGGGAAGACGACCCGUUUGAUAGGCGCUAGGUGGAAGUGCAGUAAUGCAUGCAGCCGA